This 532-nucleotide ribosomal RNA is filed under the name uncultured bacterium. RNAcentral's name for it is "bacterial SSU rRNA". It matches the Rfam family "Bacterial small subunit ribosomal RNA", at positions 18 to 518 of the family's 1533-position model. The record is from RNAcentral.
CUGGCGUCAGAACGAACGACUGGUAGCGUGGAGUUAGGCGAUGCAAGUCGAACGGGAGUCGCCGAGUUAGCAAUAACAAGGCGUGAGAGUGGCGGAGUUGGGAGGAACACGUGAGCAACCUGCCUUUGAGUUGGGGAAAACCGUUGGAAACGACGGCUAAUACCGGAUGUGGCGCCUGGGGACAUCCCCGGAGCGCUAAAGGGGGCGACCCGCAAGGGGCUCCCGCUCGAAGAUGGGCUCGCGCACCAUCAGCUUGUUGGCGGGGUAACGGCCCACCAAGGCUUACGGUUAGCUGGUCUGAGAGGAUGACCAGCCCCACUGGGACUGAGAUACUGCCCAGACUCCUACGGGAGGCUGCAGUCGAGGAUCAUUUGCAAUGGGCGAAAGCCUGACAAUGCGACGCUGCGUGGAAGGAUGAAGGCCUUCGGGUUGUAAACUCCUGUCAUGAGGGAAAAGGCGAGGGUACCCAAUACGUACCUUAGUUGAUGGUACCUCAAGAGGAAGGGACGGCUAACUCUGUGCCAGCAGCAGC